CAGUCGCCGCGGUAAUACGUAGGUGGCAAGCGUUGUCCGGAAUUAUUGGGCGUAAAGCGCGCGCAGGCGGAUAGGUCAGUCUGUCUUAAAAGUUCGGGGCUUAACCCCGUGAUGGGAUGGAAACUGCCAAUCUAGAGUAUCGGAGAGGAAAGUGGAAUUCCUAGUGUAGCGGUGAAAUGCGUAGAUAUUAGGAAGAACACCAGUGGCGAAGGCGGCUUUCUGGACGAAAACUGACGCUGAGGCGCGAAAGCCAGGGGAGCGAACGGGAUUAGAUACCCCAGUAGUCCCUGUCUCUUAUACA
This 301-nucleotide ribosomal RNA is filed under the name uncultured bacterium. Its description in RNAcentral is "partial 16S ribosomal RNA". It matches the Rfam family "Bacterial small subunit ribosomal RNA", at positions 509 to 809 of the family's 1533-position model. The record is from RNAcentral.